GCCUGGGUGGCUCAGUUGGUUAAGCGUAUGACUCUUGAUUUCAGCUCAGAUCAUAAUCUCAUGAGUUCGUGAGAUCAAGCCCCAUCUCAGGCU
Molecule: transfer RNA, 93 nt
Filed under: Felis catus (domestic cat)
Lineage: Eukaryota; Metazoa; Chordata; Mammalia; Carnivora; Felidae
Rfam family: tRNA
About the family: Transfer RNA (tRNA) molecules are approximately 80 nucleotides in length. Their secondary structure includes four short double-helical elements and three loops (D, anti-codon, and T loops).
Source: Rfam by way of RNAcentral